RNAcentral lists this ribosomal RNA (470 nucleotides) under uncultured bacterium. RNAcentral describes it as "bacterial SSU rRNA". It matches the Rfam family "Bacterial small subunit ribosomal RNA", at positions 29 to 526 of the family's 1533-position model. The record is from RNAcentral.
AAUGAACGUUGGCGGCAUGGAUUAGGCAUGCAAGUCGAGCGAGAAGUCUUUUUUGCUUGCAUUAAAGAUGGACAGCGGCGAAAGGGAGAGUAACGCGUAGAAAUGUACCCCAAGGUCCGGGAUAGUGGUGGGAAACUGCCAGUAAUACCGGAUGAUGUCUCCGGACCAAAGUUUUUCGCCUUGGGAGCAGUCUGCGUACUAUUAGCUUGUUGGUGGGGUAAAAGCCUACCAAGGCUUAGAUGGUUAGCGGGCGUGAGAGCGUGGCCCGUCUCACUGGGACUGAGACACUGCCCAGACACCUACGGGUGGCUGCAGUCGAGAAUCUUCCGCAAUGGGCGAAAGCCUGACGGAGCAAUGCCGCGUGGUGGAUGAAGGCCCUCGGGUUGUAAACACCUGUCAGUAGGGAGGAAAUUUUGACCGAUCUACAGAGGAAGUCCGGGCUAAGUACGUGCCAGCCGCCGCCGUAACAC